Molecule: ribosomal RNA, 376 nt
Filed under: uncultured bacterium
Lineage: Bacteria
Description: bacterial SSU rRNA
Rfam family: Bacterial small subunit ribosomal RNA
Source: RNAcentral
UACGUAGGGGGCAAGCGUUGUCCGGAAUUACUGGGCGUAAAGGGCGCGCAGGCGGCUAAAUAAGUUAUGCGUGAAAUGUACUGGCUCAACCGGUGCACUGCGUGUAAAACUGUUUAGCUUGAGUGCAGUAGAGGAAAGCGGAAUUCCUAGUGUAGCGGUGAAAUGCGUAGAUAUUAGGAAGAACACCAGUGGCGAAGGCGGUUUUCUGGGCUGCAACUGACGCUGAGGCGCGAAAGCUGGGGGAGCGAACGGGAUUAGAUACCCCGGUAGUCCCAGCCGUAAACGAUGAUCACUAGGUGUAGGGGGUAUCGACCCCCCCUGUGCCGAAGUUAACGCGUUAAGUGAUCCGCCUGGGGAGUACGUCCGCAAGGAUGAA